GCCCGGAUGGCGAAAUUGGUAGACGCAAGGGACUUAAAAUCCCUCGACCGCAACGGUCAUGCCGGUUCGAUUCCGGCUCCGGGCACCA
This 88-nucleotide transfer RNA is filed under the name Betaproteobacteria bacterium. Its description in RNAcentral is "tRNA-Leu". It matches the Rfam family "tRNA". From Rfam's summary of the family: Transfer RNA (tRNA) molecules are approximately 80 nucleotides in length. Their secondary structure includes four short double-helical elements and three loops (D, anti-codon, and T loops). Further hydrogen bonds mediate the characteristic L-shaped molecular structure. tRNAs have two regions of fundamental functional importance: the anti-codon, which is responsible for specific mRNA codon recognition, and the 3' end, to which the tRNAs corresponding amino acid is attached (by aminoacyl-tRNA synthetases). tRNAs cope with the degeneracy of the genetic code in two manners: having more than one tRNA (with a specific anti-codon) for a particular amino acid; and 'wobble' base-pairing, i.e. permitting non-standard base-pairing at the 3rd anti-codon position. Lineage: Bacteria; Pseudomonadati; Pseudomonadota; Betaproteobacteria. The record is from RNAcentral.